Molecule: ribosomal RNA, 371 nt
Filed under: uncultured bacterium
Lineage: Bacteria
Description: bacterial SSU rRNA
Rfam family: Bacterial small subunit ribosomal RNA
Source: RNAcentral
AUUGAACGCUGGCGGCAUGCCUUACACAUGCAAGUCGAACGGCAGCACGGGAGCAAUCCUGGUGGCGAGUGGCGAACGGGUGAGUAAUAUAUCGGAACGUGCCCAGUCGUGGGGAUAACGUAGCGAAAGCUACGCUAAUACCGCAUACGAUCUAUGGAUGAAAGCGGGGGAUCGCAAGACCUCGCGCGAUUGGAGCGGCCGAUAUCAGAUUAGGUAGUUGGUGAGGUAAGGCUCACCAAGCCGACGAUCUGUAGCUGGUCUGAGAGGACGGACCAGCCACACUGGGACUGAGACACGGCCCAGACUCCUACGGGAGGCAGCAGUGGGGAAUUUUGGACAAUGGGCGCAAGCCUGAUCCAGCAAUGCCGCGU